UCCACCUUUCCCGACGACUCGCCUAGGGAGCUUCUGACGAAUUUCACUAGCAAAUGGCUGUAUAAGCCUGAGACGGCCGCUCGAACAAUGAAAUGGCCGUCACAUGAGGUACGGAAGGUUCACAAACCAAAACUAAAUUCGAAACGCGCGCCGAACCGGACUAUUUCGCGGAGCAGUACAUGUGCAGUAGCUCCGCCCCCGUAGCCUUCCCUUCAUUGCCAAGAAAAGUUGUCCUUGGGGGCGCUUUAGUUGUUUGACGGGUGCACGGUGCGCGCGGUUUGUGUGUGUGUGUGCCAUGCUGUGUUCUGCAAUGCUUCGUUACCACGUUUAUCGAUUAUGCACGUUGGUUACUUGAUUCAAUGUCAAGUGUACCUUCCAAGACGAUCUAGGUCCUAGUCUCGUGACUGAAGGCGAGUGCGGACGUACAGCAGCCUUUUGACAAGACUGUCGCCGAGUGUACGGUACAUUGUGGACUGUAAAGCUGAAGAGUGCACAGUGGAUGCCUGAUUUUGGAACCGAGUGUGAUCGUCUGGGCGGUGUGUUCACUCUGCGGGGAUGAUGGCCAGAGGAAGGAUGAUAGACAGACGACAGCUUGCAGACGAAGAUGGGAGCGUUCUACCUGUGAGCCUGGUCGAGCUUAUAUUUUAUGGAUACACAUGCAUGGAUACACAUACAUGGAUUCCCUACAAGGACCCUGCGCAUCAAAAGCAAUCUGUCAUCAAUGUUAAGUAGACAGAUUAAACGAAACGAAGAUAUGACAGGUGUACACCAUAUUUUUCUUUCAUUUAACCUCUGCAUGUUUCCCAG
Molecule: long non-coding RNA, 807 nt
Organism: Rhipicephalus sanguineus (brown dog tick)
Lineage: Eukaryota; Metazoa; Arthropoda; Arachnida; Ixodida; Ixodidae
Exons: 4
Source: RefSeq, a predicted model, not a curated record